Molecule: ribosomal RNA, 477 nt
Filed under: uncultured bacterium
Lineage: Bacteria
Description: bacterial SSU rRNA
Rfam family: Bacterial small subunit ribosomal RNA
Source: RNAcentral
AACGAACGCUGGCGGCAGGCCUAAUACAUGCAAGUCGAACGGGCGUAGCAAUACGUCAGUGGCGGACGGGUGAGUAACACGUGGGAACAUGCCUUUCGGUUCGGAAUAACGCAGGGAAACUUGGGCUAAUACCGGAUACGUCCGUAAGGAGAAAGAUUUAUCGCCAAAGGAUCGGCCCGCGUCGGAUUAGCUAGUUGGUGAGGUAAAGGACUCACCAAGGCGACGAUCCGUAGCUGGUCUGAGAGGAUGACCAGCCACACUGGGACUGAGACACGGCCCAGACUCCUACGGGUGGCAGCAGUUUCGAAUCAUUCACAAUGGGCGAAAGCCUGAUGGUGCGACGCCGCGUGAGGGAUGAAGGUCUUCGGAUUGUAAACCUCUGUCACCGGGGAAGAAACGCUUCAAGUCAAUAGUUUGAAGCCUGACUUAACCCGGAGAGGAAGCAGUGGCUAACUCUGUGCCAGCCGCCGCUGUAAC